Lycium barbarum (goji berry) is the source of this 3980-nucleotide long non-coding RNA. RefSeq lists it as uncharacterized. Lineage: Eukaryota; Viridiplantae; Streptophyta; Magnoliopsida; Solanales; Solanaceae. The transcript is spliced from 5 exons. The record is from RefSeq and is a predicted model, not a curated record.
AAUAAGUAGAGUAUGUUGGUUCCCAGGUGUCGAUUUGAAGUGAAUCUCAAAGAUGCCUCUAGCUCGACAACUGGGAUGAUUAUGGAAAAAGAAGGAGAAAAACUAUUAUCUCUUACUGCAGCAGAGAUUUACGAAAGAGCUUCAGCUGAGUUACAAUUUGUAAAAAAACAAUUUAUACAUAAUCACCUCCUAAAUAAACUUUAAAAAAAUUAAACGAAUUUUUUUCCCCUAGAAUGACAACCUGCCUGUGGAAGAUUUCCAAAGCAAAUUUGACCAGAAGGUGUUCAGAAUUCAAGUGAAGAAAGCAUUUGGCCGUGCUUCAUCGACAUCAUCUUCAAAAUUGUAUAUCCAGUCAUACAUUGAAAAUGAAAGCAUUAUUCAUUCUCUCCCAGCACCAGCCACAACAUCAAUCAAUAUCAGCGAAAGCAGUAAAAGGAAAAAAGAACAUGUAUCUUCCCAUGAUACAAAAACAAACCUGCCAACCGAACAAGGUGAAUCAGUCAAGAUGAAACAGAAACUGGGGCCAACAACUCCAGUGAAAAGGAAAUGAAGGUUAACCAACUAAUUUUGCAACCACUAUUGGCUUUCAUGGAACAAAGUUGUUUUGCAGGAAAAUGAAGUAUUGACUAUAACUUACUCAAUUUUUGGCUUGUACAUAUAUUUCCAGUGACUUCUAUAGUCAUGGAAUAAAGGAAGCACCAGCUGUUGUUAAAUCCUACUAUGACAAAAGAAUUGUAGGAUGUCCAGAAAAUGAAAACAGUAAGUCCAUCUCUGUUACAGAUUUUUUCCUUUAGCCAGUUCACUUAAUCUUCUAAGUUGUUUUCUAAUUUAACAGAAGAUCAGCAUCACGUUGUUUGUGUUAUAUCCCGUAAUUUGCGUGUUCGGAUAAUUCGAGAUGAUUGCGGGAAGUUAAGGGCAAGGCUAUAUUUUUUACCUUGUUUAGCACACAAGUUGUUCAUGAAAGUUUUGAUGUGGAAAUAUUAAGAAAGGCUAGGGGCAAAAAGGAAAAUUCGCAAGAUGGCUCAUAGAAAAAUGGAGGAAGGCCAAGGGCAAAUUUGGAAUUUGGAAAAUAAAUUUUCAUGAAUUGCAAAAAAAAAAAAAAAAAAGAUGGGCUUGCACUAAAUGGGCCAAGUGGCCGGCCAAGGUGGUGGGCUUUAGCCCACAUGGAUUAAUUUUACAUAUGCAUAAAAGAUGACUUAAAGGUCACAUUUCUCAUCUUUAUCCAUAGAGGGUUCAAGAAACUUGGAGAGGAAAGAAAGGAGAAGGCCAUUUCGGCCAUGGCUUACCAAACAAGCUUUGAAAAAAUCUUGAUAAAAAAAAAUAAUAUUUUCUUCUAGCUUUUCUACUAAUUGGAAGGUCCUCUUUAACAUGGAGAAAUUGUUGGAGUAAGCAAAAUAUUCGUUGUGCGAGUUGUGGACUCUAGCCGAGAAAGAAGAUGAGUGGGAAAAAAGGUAUGUGUUCAAUCUCCUUUUACAUGUAUUAUGGAUGAUUAUGUGUGUUGUAGUACGUAAAAGUGGAUGAAAAUCAUGAAAUAUGGAUGUUAUGUUGGUGGCCGAAUAGAGGUGUGUUGGUAAGAAGUGAUGAAUUGAUUUUAUUUAGUAUAUUGAUUGUUGUUGUUGUGGAUUUCAUGAUGAAAAUAAAGGUUUGACGACUUGAAAUGAAGUUGUAGUUGUUUGUGGGUUGUUGUAGAAGUUAAUGCAAUUUUAAUAUGGUUUCUUGUAAUUAUGAGAAUGAAGUUGUUAAUGUGUAGAUUGUCGGUGUAGUUCAUGAAUUUGGACAAAAAGAAAAUAUGUUGUCAUUGUUCUUGUUGACUUUGGAAGGUUUCGGGUGAAGUGGUAUGUUGGUCGGAUUGUUUGAAGUGUUCUUGAAUCAUGUUAGAAUGAUUUCGGAUUAAUACUUGAAUGUGAAAUAAUUGAUGUUAGCUUGACUAUGUGUUGUUGAAUUGAAUAUAAAAGGAAUGCCGUCGAAUUGUGUAAAAGGAUUGCUAGUGUUAGAAUGCAUUUGAAUUAAUUGUUGAAGUUGGAGAUAUGAUUGUUCGUAUUGUUGUUGAUAAUUUGGCCGAGUUGAAUUCUCGGAUUUGUUGUUGAUAAAUUGGCCGAGUUAGAUUUUCGGGGAUGGUGUAUUUACAGGGGGAAUGCUGCCGAAAUUUCGGCAGAUUAUGAAUGAAUUUAUUUGGAAGACUAAGGCAAGUGUGUGACAAUGUGUUUAAUGAUUGUGUAAUCUUCUUGAAUGUAGACUAGCGAUAGCAAGCUUGGACAGAUAAGCGUAGCUAAUAGGACGUGGAACAGGUAUGUAAAGCUUACUUUUUCUUUCUUUUGGCAUGCCCUAGAGCUAAGUAAGCUAUGAUACUUAUCUUGGGGUGACUCUAUUCUUGAUUCCGAGCUUGUUAAUGAUCCUUAUUCACUUUUUGAUAUGCGUAUAUUUAGUAUGGUCGAGCUUAUUAUAUGAAGAAUAACAAGAAGAGUAUAAAGAGUUCCUGUUUUAUUUAUAAGAGAUCUGUAAGUAGUAAUGUCCCUAAUUUUCGUAGAUGGUUUCGGAUUGUCUUGGAAAUGCUCGUAGAAGUUUCUAUAACGAAUAACGUUCAUAGAUUUCAUAAGCGAACUCGGAUUGCGUUAGAAACGUUCAUGGGGGGUUCUAUAAUGAAUAAUGUCCAUAAUGAUAUUUGAAAGGUACUUGGUAUGAUUGUUGUUUUAAUUUUUCAAAAAUAACUUCUGAAACGUUCGUAGAAGGUUCUGUACUUCAAACGCUCAUAACUUUCUUAUUCUAAGUCGGAUUGACCCGAAACCUGUUUCUGAGUCUUCAGGCGUCGGUAAGUAUAUUUAUCCAUCGAAUCUUAAAAGUUGAUUUACAUGCAUUUAGUUUCCUACUACUCUGCUCGUGCAUAUGGUUGUUAACUUUCUUAUACUAACUCGGAUUUACUUGAAACGUGUUUGUGGCUUAUUAAUGAUUUCAAGAAAAUUAGUUUUGUACUAAAGGAAACAUAAACUUGACUUUCAAAACCACUCCGAAUGGGGUGUGGGAUUUUACUAUUAAGAUUUUCAAAACCACUCCGAAGGAGGUGCGAGAUUUUACUAUUUAGAUUUUCAAAAUCACUCCGAAGGGGGUGCGAGGUUGUACUAUUUCAUUCCAUAUACGACUCAUGUUUACAUUCCAUGGCAUCGUUAUUAUUAUGUCGGGACCGACAUGCCCGAAGGGGCCAGGGUAGUAUUAUGUCGGAACCGGCAUGCCCGAAGGGGCCAUUAUUAUUAUUAUGUCGGGAUCGGCAUGCCCGAUGGGGCCAGGGUAGUAUUAUGUCGGAACCGGCAUGCCCAAAGGGGCCAUCAUUAUUAUUAUGUCGGGACCGGCAUGCCCGAUGGGGCUAGGGUAGUAUUAUGUCGGAACCGGCAUGCCCGAAGGGGCCAUCAUUGUUACUAUGCCGGAAGCGGCCAUCCGAAGGGACCAUUAUGAUACUAUUUUCUCAUAGUGUAUGCUAGAAUUUGGGUAUGCUGUGUUUAUAUUAGGUAUGCUAGAAUUUGUGUAAGGCACUACGUGGCACGGUUCAAAAUGUUAUUCCAGGUAGCUCCCGGGUUGUCUCUAAACUGGUUACUGUAACGCUUUCCUGUGUUUAUGAUUCAGUGAUGCUUUACAUAUUCAGUACAUAUUCCGUACUGACCCCCUUUCUUCGGGAGCUGCGUUUCAUGCCACGUAGGUGUAUACAGAUGAGUGGAAGGCAUUGGCUAUAGGAUGUUCCCAGGAUACCAGCUGAAUUGGCGAGCUCCAUCUCAGUUCGGAGUAUUGCCGAGUCAAGUACUUAUGUCAUGGUAUUUUGUAUAUGUUAGAGACUUUGCAGACAGUGUCCUGUGGAUAGGGCGUCGAGAAGUGCGAAUCAUUUAUAGAUGUUAAAAGAGUAUGUAUUUUUAGAUGAUUUCAGUUGAUUUGAAGUACGUAAUUAAUUGAAAGUUUUCAUAAUAUGUAUAAAGACAAUGAUCUUUAUUUGGAAA